Malus domestica (apple) is the source of this 1620-nucleotide non-coding RNA. Lineage: Eukaryota; Viridiplantae; Streptophyta; Magnoliopsida; Rosales; Rosaceae. The record is from RefSeq and is a predicted model, not a curated record.
UGAACUGUUGAGUUGACAAUUGUUCCUCCAUCUCCUCGAUUCGAUUAGCACCCGGUGUCCGUCGGCUGCAGUCGGCAGAGCAGAGGAUAGACAGCCUCUCUUCUCCUAAACCAAAAGAUUCAGGUUUCAUCUGCGAACCCAACUGAAAGCGAGACCCACCUGCGCACCCGACCCAAACCCGUUUGAUCUGAGAUUCUGAGAUCCACCGCCCAGAAGCCGUCCCCUAAGCAACAACCACCGACCCAUCACACCUCCUCCUCCUCCUCCAGCUUCCUACUGGUUCUCUGAUGAUGGCAAAGAAAAGGCAAACGCAGCUUGGGGUUGCCCAGCACAAGAAUAAUACCUCCACUGGUGGUCUAAUUGAGUCUUCAAACUCCGAUAAUGAUCCUGAUCUGCAAGAUAGUUGGGUGAUAGUUAAGAAGCAGAGAGUCAAAAUUCUGAUACCUCCCCUGCCUGUUGCUAAUAAAUCUCCACCGCCAAAUCCAGGACCAGUCCAGCUGCAACCUGUGGCCAGAGAAGCGGAAGGAAACAAAUCACAGUUUCCUGUCGAGACUGAGGCAUUUCCUAAGACGACUUCAGUUCAGGAGCAAAAGAGGAUUAAAUCUAUUGCUCAUAAAAGGGUUGUUCAGUUACUAGAAAAUCUCCUUCUGCUGACUACGUUUCAACAUUUGGGAAGUCAAUCAAGCGAGAUAUAAGAAUGGAAUUACGAAAUCCAGAUCAGAUUGCUACUUCACAGUCUCAUAGAACACCGGGAGUAUUUAAAACCUCAAAAGCCAUCAUUCAGCCAAGAAAAUUACGACAUGGCCCGAGUAUUUUCCUUGAUCAGGGAAUGCUGCUGAAUCAAAAGCUGAGAGCUCUGAAUCUUGAGAGGAAGCUUCAGAAAGCCGGCGGGUUAAGCAGGUGGUUAGCAUCACUAGGACUGGGGCAGUUUGUUAGCAUUUUCCAGAGGAAAGGUCUGAGUAAGUUCCAGUUGGUGAAUCUGACCAUGAAGAAGCUCAAAGACAUGGGUGCCAAUGCAGUAGGGCCCCGUAGGAAACUGAUGCACGCAAUCGACUGCUUUUGCCAGCCGUGCUUCUUUUAAAAGCAUUCCGGAAUUCAUUUAGGAUCAAGUUGAGAAACAAAACCCAAAACCAACAUCUUUUUCUGCGAGUAACAUCAAAAGCAGCGAGGUACGUUGUUCCCAUUUCGAUGUGUACAGUUUUUCGGAUUGGUGCAUUUUAUGAAAAGAAAAUGUCUACAAACUACGGCAAUGUCAUGUGAUUGCUAGUUGUAUGGAUAAGCCUUGUGUCAGUUUUCUACGAGCAUUCAGAAUGCUACAUGAAGUAGGUUUGUAACGUUUGUUUAUGGAAGUAUGGGUGUAAAUAAUUGUGUCCAUUAGAUCGCACACAUGAUUUUCAUAAGAGGACAUAAUGUGGUGGCGAUGCUCACCAUUUUACGGUGAUGGGUAACGUAUUGUUUAGCCGGAGGUCGUUGUUUGAGUGACACAAAAAGAGAAAUGAACUCCUUACUCCUUGCUGCAAGCACUUCAUGUCGGCAUGGGAGAGUGGUUGGCUGGUACCACACUGAUUCUAAUUUCAAUUGAAUCCAUAUGAUAGAAAACAAUAUUUCACAUAUUACCCA